UGGGGAAUAUUGCACAAUGGGGGAAACCCUGAUGCAGCGACGCCGCGUGAACGAAGAAGGCAUUCGUAUCGUAAAGUUCUGUCCUAUGGGAAGAUAAUGACAGUACCAUAGAAGAAAGCUCCGGCUAAAUACGUGCCAGCAGCCGCGGUAAUACGUAUGGAGCGAGCGUUGUCCGGAAUUAUUGGGCGUAAAGGGUACGCAGGCGGUUUAAUAAGUCGAAUGUUAAAGAUCGGGGCUCAACCCCGCAAAGCAUUGGAAACUGAUAAACUUGAGUAGUGGAGAGGAAAGUGGAAUUCCUAGGGUAGUGGUGAAAUACGUAGAUAUUAGGAGGAAUACCAGUAGCGAAGGCGACUUUCUGGACACAAACUGACGCUGAGGUACGAAAGCGUGGGGAGCAAACAGG
RNAcentral lists this ribosomal RNA (403 nucleotides) under bacterium. Its description in RNAcentral is "partial 16S ribosomal RNA". It matches the Rfam family "Bacterial small subunit ribosomal RNA", at positions 355 to 776 of the family's 1533-position model. The record is from RNAcentral.